This 8103-nucleotide long non-coding RNA is filed under the name Triticum aestivum (bread wheat). Its description in RNAcentral is "long non-coding RNA (TAES_LNC027748)". The record is from RNAcentral. Lineage: Eukaryota; Viridiplantae; Streptophyta; Magnoliopsida; Poales; Poaceae.
GCAGCGGCCGCGGCUCGGGAGCCUUCCCCGAUCGAGACGAGGACAGAGAGGGCCGAGCGAGAGAGGGAUGGCGGCGUGUGGGAGAAGGAAGGGCGAGGAGGAGGCCGCAGGUGAGGGAGAUGGGGGCCUGGCGCUGGGUUCGGCAGGGGCGAGCGCGAGGUGAGAGGCGAGAGGGAGAUGGGGAUCGAGAGGAGGGAGGACGAUGCGUGCGGCGCUGGAGGGAGAUGGGGAUCGAGCAGGAGGCUCUCCCCUGCACUAGGGUUAGAGUGGGGGGUGCGGCUGGGCCUUGGGUCGGCUUAGGUAGUGGGCUGCGGCUGGCUGCGGCUGGAGAGGUGGGCUGCGAGGAAGCAGGCCGGUUUGGAUGGUCGGGCCUAAGAGGCCUGGCUGGGCUCUCUCUCUACUCUUUCUAAUGAAUAAAAAACAGAACAGAGAAAAGAAAGAAAAGAAAGAGAGGUUAGGGGGAAGAUUUGCGCAUGGGGAUAAUUUUCCCGGACUCGCAAAAAUGAGCUCGAUCCAGGAAAAAUAGAAGUGGGCAUGACCGAAAGAUUUAAAUUCAAACUCAUUUGAAAUUAAUUCAAAUGGUUUUGAACGGAAGUGAGGGUUUGGGAAGGUCCAAAAAUGUUCGGAUUUUUGGUGGAGCUCCGGAAAAUGAUGAAAUAAUUAUUGGCAAGGUUGGAGACCAAAACAUGAAGCAGAAAAGGAACGUAAUUAUUUUGCAAGUGUGUUUUGGUGAUUUCCGAAAUAAAGAAAUUUUUAAUAUAGCUCCCUAAUAUUGGAGGAUAUGUUAUAAAGAGAAGUCACCAUGUGAGUUCCCUCGGUUUAAAUAGAUCAAAAGAUCUAUGCAAUUUAUUUAGUUGAGUUUUAAAAUUAAAUGGCAUGAUGACAUGAUGACAUGAUGCAAUGCAAAAAAUAAAAGAGCAAGCACAAAAGAAACACAUGGCAAAACUCGAAAUAGCUGGAAGUCUUCUGGAGCGUCGGUCUCGGGGCGUUACAACACUCCACCACUACAAGAGGAUCUCGUCCCGAGAUCUAGGAUGGCACCGGAGAGAAACGGAAGAGGAAGAGAGGAGGUAGAACUAAGUUGCUUCUUCGACAAAAGAGUGAAACCAAAGAACCUUGAGAGGUUGAACAAAUUGAAAGAAAGAACACAAGGUAGUUGAAACACAAUUGAGAGCACUGCGGUAGAGAAAUAGAAAUAAGGAACACCAUUUGAACCUUGGAGGUUGCAAAGCUAUGAAUGACGAGUACAAUGGACAAGAAGGGAUUGAACCACUCUGGUUGAAACGAGAUAAACAAGGAACAAGGAAGAACAAAUUCGGACAGCACUCCGGUUGAAAAGAGAUGCAAGACUUGAUAAGAUGAAAAGAACUUAGCAGAGAACAUAACACUCCGGUUAAAUGGAUAAGCACGAAAAGAACAUGAUCCUCAAUACGAGAAGAUGAGUGAAGAGAGCAACAUCACAAUGCCUUCGAAAGAAAGAAUAGAAGAUAGAUCAUUGGAAUAACAGAAUGGAGAAGGAAAUGCCAACUUCUGCCACAAAUGAGCUUGGAAAGCAUCCUUGCAAAGAAGAAUUGAACAGAGUUGUUGGAAAAUCAACAACGAAAAGCACUUACUUGUAGUGGGCUUAUGGAAAACAUCUCAAAAUUAUGAGGUGACAACCGGCCACUAACGGAAACAAUUGAUUUCUUGAGAUCAACGAAGAGAUGAAAACUUCUUUUGCCGAGAGGAUAGGAGAAAACUCGAAUCAUUGAUAAGCACCACAAUAGCAACAUUCCUUAGGGAAGGCUUAAGGUGAAAUAUGACACAAGAUACUCCAACGAAGAGAUUAAUGGAUUUAAAAUACCUCAUUCUUGACAACAUAUGAAUCAUGAAACAUGAAGGAAAUUGUCAAGAGUGACAUAACACCACCUCAAAAGAUAAGGUAGGAAGAAUUGCACUUCGAAAUGCACGAUAAAGAAUGCUUGAACUCCUCACAAAAAUAACAUGUGUUGAGAACCAUGUUUAUUUUUGAGUAAAGCUUGGCGGGUCAUAACUUCGAGAGAAAUCUUGAAGAACAACUGAAGAAUGAAAAGAAUCCUUGACGAACCACCAUGUAGAGCCUCCAUGAAGAACUCCGGUAAUAAAAGGAUGAUAAAAAGAAAGGGAAGUUGAAAAUACAAGGUGAAGCCUUGCAAUGAUUUAGAAGGAGCUUCGCGAUGAUAUAACCAAGAAAACUUGGAACUCCAGAAAAGAAAAGAUGAAGCAUCUCGAACCGAGAAAUGUGACAUGAUGAACAAUCUCCGGAAGAAGGAAUUAAUCACUUGGAUGAAACAAGAAUAAGAAUUAUGUUAUGUGUAUUCUUCAUCAAUUUAAAUUGAUGACGAGCAAUGGAUUUGGCAUACUACUUAUUCUCAUAGAAAGGAUUAAGAGAGAUAUAACGCAAAACUUGAGAAAGCUAUUGAUGGAACCAUCGGUGGGAUUGAAACAACAAAAGAACGAAUGAAUUGAUACGAUAACGAAGGAAGAGAAAUCUUGAACAACCAUCAUAAUAAUUGAAAAUGAAAGUACCAAAGGCACAAAUCACGAGAAGAAUUGGAAAACAAACGAAGAUACUUGAGGGGAUUUGGAUACAUGAGAACGAAGAGGCCAUGAACUGAUUAGAGGAUAUUUGAACGAUGCACCGGUAAGAUUUGUAGAACAAGAGCUGAAGGCUGAGAAAGAAUUAUGACAUGAUGGCCUUCGGAGGAAAAGAAAUGGAAACAACUCAUGAAAUGCUCCGGAUGGGUGAAAAGAAUUCUCACAAUCAAAAGCAAUUAUGAGAGGAUGGUAUAAAGCUAGAACCAUGAAUCUCUGGAAGAACGGGUAAGGAUUUAAGAGGAACUCUUCUUCGGUCUUCAAAAUUCGAGAAUGACAAGGAGAAACACCACCAUGAAUUGUUGAGAUACUCCGGGAUGAAAAUUAGAAAGGUUGAACCAACAACGAAAGAAUUUGAAAGAUCUUGGAGAAAGACAUUUGACUGAUGAUAAUUCAUUGUUACGUCAAGCUUCGAAAAGAAUUUGGGAAUAGCUCUGGAAUAAUUAGAAGAGUCAGGUAAGAUCCUGGGAAAAGACCUGUGGGUUAGGGUCCACUCAAAAGAAACACCGUUGAACGAUUGAUUGAAAGGGGGGAUUGCGCCAGUUGAAUUAAAUGGCUUGAAUGAGAUAACAAUCUCCAAAUAGCUUGAACAGAUUAAGAAUUGAAACACGAAUCUUCUGAGAUAUCAUCGGCACUUCGGAUAAUAGAGAGAGGUGAACAAUUGUGAGAGGCACCGGCAUGGGAUAGCAUUUGAACGAGGAUAAGGAUAUGAUCAACACCAAAAGCUUGAGGUAAAUCCACCGGAGAAGAAAAGAGACAAAGAAUAAUAAACUUGAAGCUCGUGAGCAUCUUCACGAGGGAUCCCCGGAUCAGAACAUUGAUUGAAAAGGGUGAAGUGACUUCACAUGAAUAAAUGGAUACUUGAUUAACAUAUAUGAGUCCUUGAAGAAAAAGGGUGGGAGGGUGGGUAAAAACAAAGACAACUUGAGAUGAACGAAACAAACACCGUUGAGAAAACUUAGAAUUGAUCUUGCGGAUGGGGAGAAUGAUGGAAUCAUCUCGAAGAGAAGCUCACCGGUUGGAAAAGAAUUAACAUGACGACCUCGAUGAUCAAGAAGGAUUAGCAUUCAUAUAGAAAUAUGAGAACACCAUUUAGGAAAGGUAUGGAUUCAACAUUUGACUUCGAAGCAACUCGAAUACCACAAAUAAAACAAAACAAAGGAUUUGGCUUGCAGAAUAAGCCGGAACAAACAUAUGAUAGAGAUUCCGUCCGAAGUUUUCGUGGUGGGGCCCACACGGGCUCGAGUGUACAGCACCAUCAUGUACAAGGCAGUGCACAUGACAUAUGAAGUGUCCCCGAACUAGCAUAGCUAAGGGUUCUUUAAGACACAACGAGACCACUGUAAAAACGACCGUGGAAAGGCGGACCACUAGACGUCAAACCCCAAUCUCAUAUCAUGCAUCUGUCGAAAAGAUAUUCUAGGAGCUACUUGAAUUCCCACCUAUAAAACUCCCGAAACUUUCUGGUUAUGCAAUCUGGUGUUGGGGAUACAAGGGAAGCAAUAUAUAUCUCAUCCAAACUAACAAUUCCUACAUCCAAGCUGUAUCCAUCCGUCAACACAUAACCAAGAAACCUUCGGAAAUCGUGUACCUCAACCUUCGAAAAGCAUCCGUUAUACGAGCUAUGGCAAUACUCCCGAACUCCCCAGUACUGGGUGACGUCGAGGUUAUCUCACCAACAACUGCAUAAAAGAGAUUUUCGAUGUCGACAAAACUCAGGUAUUCCAGAACUGCAACGAUAAAAUUGUGACGACAACACCUCGGAGCUCAACUCCCCGGGUCAAAGCCACAUAAUAGGCAGGAGGCACCAAGAACAAUGUUCUUGUCACAAAACCAUCGGAACAAUUCCAAGAUACCCGCGUGAUCCUAAAAUUUUUUUAGUGAAAUUUAAGGAGAGGAAAGUCAAAACAUCUACGUCAGGAGACCUCACCAGAGCGACGAAGGGACUGAGGAGUAAAAAGAAUCCUACUCUCCGAUAUAUAUAAUCCUAAGACUCAAUUUUUUUUUCUAGACUCAACAACACCAGCAAACAAUCAAGCAGGGGGCUCCUAAGUCGGGGAUGGCUCUGAUUACCAACUUGUAACACCCACGAUGCGGCUAUAUCUCCCACGUGUCGAAGCACGACUUAGAGGCAUAACCGCAUUGUGGUUUUGUCGCAAGAAGGGUCAUCUUCACACAAUCCCAUGUAAUGAACAAGAAUGGGAUAAAGAGUUGGCUUACAAUCGCCACUUCACACAAUGAACAUAUAAUUCAUACAUCAUUCAGAGUACACACAUAGUCCGACUACGGACGAAGCCAAAAGAAAAGAAGAUAACCCAACUGCUAGAUCCCUGAUCGUCCCGACUGGGCUCCACUACUGAUCAACAAGAAACAACACAUAGCAACAACUAAGAUCUUCGUUGCGCUCCCAUCUGAGCGCGGUUGCAUCGCCUGCACUGGUAUCAUCGGCACCUGCAACUGUUGUGAUAGUAUCUGGUGAGUCACGAGGACUCAGCAAUCUCAAAACCCGCGAGAUCAAGACUAUUUAAGCUUAUGAGUAGGAAGUGGUAAAGUGGUGAGGUUGCAGCAGCGACUAGCAUAUAAGGUGGCUAACAUACCCAAAUAAGAGCGAGAAGAGAGCAAAAGGAACGAUCAUGGACUAGCAAUGAUCAAGAAGUGAUCCUGAACUCCUACUUACGUCAAACAUAACCCAAAACCGUGUUCACUUCCCGGACUCCGCCGAAAAGAGACCAUCACGGCUACACACACAGUUGAUGCGUUUUAAUUCGGAUCUGGUGUCAAGUUAUCUACAACCGGACAUUAACAAAUUCCCAUCUGCCUAUAACCGCAGGCACGGCUUUCGAAAGAUUAUACCCUGCAGGGGUGUCCCAACUUAGCCCAUGACAAGCUUUCGCGAUCAACAAAGGAAUAGACCUUCUCCCAGGAAGACCCGAUCAGACUCGGAAUCCCGGUUUACAAGACAUUUCGACAAUGGUAAAACAAGACCAGCAAAGCCUCCCGCUGUGCCGACAAAUCCCGAUAGGAGCUGCACAUAUCUCGUUCUCAGGGCACACCGGAUUGUCCAAACUUCCGGUAGGCCAGCCCAGAGUUGCCCCUGGUGGCCACCGGCGGUUGACAGGUUGGACCAACACUCACGACGAGCACUGGGCCGGGGGGGUAAAAUAAAGAUGACCCUUGAGUCUGCAGAACCCAAGGGAAAAAGGCUUAGGUAGGCAAAUGGUAAAACCAAGGUUGGGUCUUGCUGGAGGUGUUUUAUUUAAAGCGAACUGUCAAGGGGGUCCCAUAAAUCACCCAACCGCGUAAGGAACGCUAAAUCCGGGAACAUAACACCGGUAUGAUGGAAACUAGGGCGGCAAGAGUGAAACAAAAUACCAGGCAUAAGGCCGAGUCUUCCAGCCUUUACCAAGUAUAUAGAUGCAUUAAAUAAAUAAGAGAUAUUGUGAUAUCCCAAAAUAAUCAUGUCCAUCGUGGAGCAAUCUUCAACUUCACCUGCAACUAACAAUGCUAUAAGAGGGGCUGAGCAAAGCGGUAACAUAGCCAAGCAACGGUUUGCUAGGAAGGGUGAAAAGGUUAGAGGCUGACAUGGCAAUAUGGGAGGCAUGAUAAACAAGUGAUAGAUAGCGCAGCAUAGCGAUAGAACGAAGCAACUAGCAAGCAAAGAUAGAAGUGAUAUCGAGGGUAAUGGUCAUCUUGCCUGAAAUCCGAUAGGAAGAAGAACAAGUCCAUGAAGAAGACAAACAGACGUAGUCGAACGAAUCCUCACAACUCCGGAACGAAACCGAAGCUAACGAGAGAAGCAAACCGGAAAGAAGCAAACAACAUGGUAAACACACAAGCAUAAUCAUGGCAUGAUGCACAACCAAAUAUGAUGCAUGUCCGGUUUAAUGAGGCAUGGCAUGGAAAAGCAAACAACACUACAAUUUAAGUGGAGCUCAAUAUGCAACGAGUUGCAUAUUGACGAAACACCACAUCAAUUAUUUAGUUUCUCUCUCGGUUAUGAACACAAUAAUAUUAAAUGUUGAUUAACAUGGCAAGAGGUGAAGCAUGAGCAAACCACCUAUUUAGGCAAGUUUAAAUGAGGCCGGAAAUAACAAACAACAAUUCCGGAAAAAUCCCCACAUGUCAUUUAGUAGUUUAAUGCAACAACAAUUUUAAGCAUUUAAAUGUUGUUAUCAUCAUGCGGAUGACAUAUGCAAGUUUAUGCAAUUUUAUGAAAAUGUUAACAUGAGCAUGAUACGAGGCAUUUGGUCACCAUGGCGGAACGAAAGGGGUGCCACGGCGGUGAAACAAAAAUGGUGCCACGGCAACAUAUCCGAAAAUGAUGUCACGACAACAUAUCAGUUCUGGUAGCUCACGGAGAUACCGGUGCAAAAGAAGGCGUGCGGAUGAGCGCAAUAUACUAGAGAUGGUGGGGUGCUCCCGACUACCGGGUUCCCACGAGACGGGGCAUGGCAAAAGAGGGGCAUCGCAAGGACAAUUCGGACACGGUGCAAACACAUCGUACAUCUCAUCCAUGCAAGGGCAUCUCAUCACGGUCGUCUCGCGUUAUACCUUCGAAGCGUUCAAACGGGACGGUUCGCGUUUCGUAGAGGGAAGUAGUCGUUCACGGGUCGUAGUGGAAGUAGUCGUACACGGCGUAGUGGAAGUCGUUGUUCACGUGGCGACGGUAGUUGUACACGUUUUCGUAGAUGUUCAGGUCGACAGUAGUGGUACACGCGACGUCGGGGUACUUGUCGGUCCGGUCUUGGCGGUGUAGAUGUACACAUUCCGUAGACGAACAUGGAUGUCGUGGUACUUGCGUUACUGUGGCCUCCAGGUACUUGCCGAAAACCACAUCGGAGGUAGUCGAACCGAUCUGAAGACGAACUUGGCACCGAGGUCGAACUUGCCGGUCUGGAUGAAUCUGAAGGGGCAUCGAGGGACUUGCAAGGCUCUGCCUCGGGAGGUCACCGGGGACCGCUCGAGCUGCUGGAUGCUGGCGCAGGAUGCAGGGGUGCGGCAUGGAGCUUGACGGCGGGGCUCCGGGCUCCUGGUGGAGCUCUUGGUGGUCGCCACCAACGGAGGAGGCGGCAAGGGGCGAGAGGGACCGGGCGCAGGGAGCACCACUCCCUGGCUCGAUGCGGAGGAGGUGACGGCGCGGGCCUGUGGGCCUGGCUGGCGCCAUGGACGAAGGGAGCAUGAGCUCGGGGAGGAGGCCGAGCGCUGGCGAGGAGGAGGCAGAGGGACUUGGCCGGCGGCGCGGCUGAUGGCAGGGGACGAUGGAUCCGGGCAGCGGCCGCGGCUCGGGAGCCUUCCCCGAUCGAGACGCGGACAGAGAGGGCCGAGCGAGAGAGGGAUGGCGGCGCAUGGGAGAAGGAAGGGCGAGGAGGAGGCCGCAGGUGAGGGAGAUGGGGGCCUGGCACUGGGUUCGGCAAGGGCGAGCGCGAGGUGAGAGGCGAGAGGGAGAUGGGGAUCGAGAGGAGGGAGGACGAUGCGUGCGGCGCUGGAGGG